Molecule: transfer RNA, 74 nt
Filed under: Pseudarthrobacter sp. BIM B-2242
Lineage: Bacteria; Bacillati; Actinomycetota; Actinomycetes; Micrococcales; Micrococcaceae
Rfam family: tRNA
About the family: Transfer RNA (tRNA) molecules are approximately 80 nucleotides in length.
Source: Rfam by way of RNAcentral
GCCCUGAUAGCUCAGACGGAUAGAGCGGCGGUUUCCUAAACCGCAGGUCGCUGGUUCAAGUCCAGCCCAGGGCA